GCCUCAUGGUGUAGUGGUUUGAGUGUUGGACUAGGACUCUGGAGCCAGGGUUCGAAUCCCUGCUCAGCCA
This 70-nucleotide transfer RNA is filed under the name Phrynosoma platyrhinos (Desert horned lizard). RNAcentral's name for it is "tRNA-OTHER". Lineage: Eukaryota; Metazoa; Chordata; Lepidosauria; Squamata; Phrynosomatidae. The record is from RNAcentral.